GUUUCCCUACGGGGGGCAGCAGUGGGGGAUAUUGCACAAUGGGGGGAACCCUGAUGCAGCGACGCCGCGUGGGUGAAGAAGCGCCUCGGUACGUAAAGCUCUAUCAGCAGGGAAGAAAAAAAGUCUUUGGCUUUGGACGGUACCUGACUAAGAAGCCCCGGCUAACUACGUGCCAGCAGCCGCGGUAAUACGUAGGGGGCAAGCGUUAUCCGGAUUUACUGGGUGUAAAGGGAGCGUAGACGGCAGCGCAAGUCUGGAGUGAAAUGCCGGGGCUCAACCCCGGAACUGCUUUGGAAACUGUGCAG
This 305-nucleotide ribosomal RNA is filed under the name uncultured bacterium. Its description in RNAcentral is "partial 16S ribosomal RNA". It matches the Rfam family "Bacterial small subunit ribosomal RNA", at positions 333 to 640 of the family's 1533-position model. The record is from RNAcentral.